GCAUUAAUGGGGUAGUGGUAACCUGGGUCGUUGCCAUUUAAAGUUAAUUUCGACCCGCCGGGGGUUCGAUUCCCUCUUAAUGCA
Asterophora parasitica is the source of this 84-nucleotide non-coding RNA. The record is from the annotation of a GenBank genome assembly. Lineage: Eukaryota; Fungi; Basidiomycota; Agaricomycetes; Agaricales; Lyophyllaceae.